UAAAUAUGGAAAGGGAGCUGGCCCAAGCCGGCUGAGAGGAUGCGAAAUGGAGCGUCGACCUAUAACCUGAUUUGGAUAAUGCCAACGUAGGGAAUGUACUGGAAUUUUAAC
This 111-nucleotide non-coding RNA is filed under the name Turicibacter sanguinis. Its description in RNAcentral is "TPP sequence". It matches the Rfam family "TPP riboswitch aptamer (THI element)". Rfam says of the family: Vitamin B(1) in its active form thiamin pyrophosphate (TPP) is an essential coenzyme that is synthesised by coupling of pyrimidine and thiazole moieties in bacteria. The previously detected thiamin-regulatory element, thi box was extended, resulting in a new, highly conserved RNA secondary structure, the THI element, which is widely distributed in eubacteria and also occurs in some archaea. The record is from RNAcentral. RNAcentral also lists the same sequence under 1 other name. Lineage: Bacteria; Bacillati; Bacillota; Erysipelotrichia; Erysipelotrichales; Turicibacteraceae.